RNAcentral lists this ribosomal RNA (441 nucleotides) under uncultured bacterium. RNAcentral describes it as "partial 16S ribosomal RNA". It matches the Rfam family "Bacterial small subunit ribosomal RNA", at positions 338 to 795 of the family's 1533-position model. The record is from RNAcentral.
CCUACGGGAGGCAGCAGUGGGGAAUAAUGGGCAAUGGGCGAAAGCCUGACCCAGCAACGCCGCGUGAAGGAAGAAGGCUUUCGGGUUGUAAACUUCUUUUGACAGGGAAGCGCAGAAGACGGUACCUGUCGAAUAAGCCACGGCUAACUACGUGCCAGCAGCCGCGGUAAUACGUAGGUGGCACGCGUUGUCCGGAUUUACUGGGUGAAAGGGGCGUGUAGCCGGGCUGACAAGUCAGCGGUAAAAUCGCGGGGCUCAACCUCGCUCCGCCGUUGAACCUGGCGUUCUUGAGUGGGCGAGAAGUAUGCGGAAUGCGUGGUGUAGCGGUGAAAUGCAUAGAUAUCACGCAGAACUCCGAGUGCGAAGGCAGCAUACCGGCGCCCAACUGACGCUGAAGCACGAAAGCGUGGGUAUCGAACAGGAUUAGAUACCCGGGUAGUC